AAAAGAAAAGGUUAGGGGGUCUUAAGCAGUGAAACUCUCUGACUUUCAUUUGGUUAAAAAAAUUAGUAAAUAAAUGAAACAAAACUAUUUACAUUUGUCGUCAUUUACUAACCCUGCUGUCAUUCCAACAUAGCAUUAUUUUCUCUUUUUACUAAACAAAAAUGAGGUAAAAGCACCAUAAAAGUAUUAUAAAAUGCUUCUAAAAAUAUCACCCAUAAUCACGUGACACACAUGAAAGUGAAAGUGAAAGUGACAUGACAAACAGCCAAGUAUGGUGACCCAUACUCAGAAUUUGUGCUCUGCAUUUAACCCAUCCAAAGUGCACACACACAGCAGUGAACACACACACACGCCAUGAACACACACCCAGAGCAGUGGGCAGCCAUUUAUGCUGCGGCGCCCAGGCACCUCAGUCGUGGUAUUGCCGGCCAGAGACUCAAACCCACAACCUUAGGGUUAGGAGUCAAACUCUCUAACCAUUAGGCCAUGACAUCCCCCCCCAAAGACAUGAAUGGUCUUUAGCAUCACUAAAUUAUCUAAUUCAACCAAACGCACCACAGGUACCACAAUAAAAUUAGAAUAUCAAUGCAAGAUUAUUUAGAAAGCACAUUUCAUACAGAAAGGAAAUUCAAAGUGCUUUACAUUAAAGGAAUUAUUUAAAUAACCAUAAUCACUACACAAGAAAAUAUAAAAAUAAGAUAAAGUUAAGCAACUUAAAUUUAAUUUCAAUCCUCACAUGUAUGUAAUAUGGGCUAAUUUAUUAUACUUUAUGUUCUUUUUCUGAGCUUUGCAGUAAUAUUCAUGUCUUCAUGUGAUAUGAAUUCACAGCUCAGAGUUCACCGAACUUGAUCUUUGGAAGCGAAAUGUGAAACUUCUUCAAAUGAAUGCAAGUCAAUGGAAGAAGAAAUCCAGAGCAACCAGAAUGAAUCUAAAUUAGAAGUUUUGACUUUCAAAUCACAUCAACUGUAUUUAUUUCUAAAAGAAAGUUUAAAGGUUUGGCAAACGUAAGAUCUCUUUUUAUAAUACUUUAAUUGGUCUUAUAUAACACCGAAUCACUUGUGAUCAAAAGUAACAUAGGACAAGAGAAAGGUAUUUGCUUUGGUCUUUUUGAACUGUCUAGUCUUGAAUUCUUUAGAU
This is a long non-coding RNA of Cyprinus carpio carpio, 1137 nucleotides long. NCBI's taxonomy places the organism in Eukaryota, Metazoa, Chordata, Actinopteri, Cypriniformes, Cyprinidae. The record is from Ensembl.